GAUGAAGAACGUAGUGAAAUGCGAUAAGUAAUGUGAAUUGCAGAAUUCAGUGAAUCAUCGAAUCUUUGAACGCACAUUGCGCCCGCCAGUAUUCUGGCGGGCAUGCCUGUCUGAGCGUCAUUUCAACCCUCAUGCCCCUAGGGCGUGGUGUUGGGGAUCGGCCAAAGCCCGCGAGGGACGGCCGGCCCCUAAAUCUAGUGGCGGACCCGUCGUGGCCUCCUCUGCGAAGUAGUGAUAUUCCGCAUCCGAGAGCGAUGAGCCCCUGCCGUUAAACCCCCAACUUUCCAAGGUUGACCUCAGAUCAGGUAGGAAUACCCGCUGAACUUAAGCAUAUCAAUAAGCGGAGGA
RNAcentral lists this unclassified non-coding RNA (348 nucleotides) under soil metagenome. RNAcentral's name for it is "partial contains 5.8S ribosomal RNA, internal transcribed spacer 2, and large subunit ribosomal RNA". The stretch from base 1 to 120 matches the Rfam family "5.8S ribosomal RNA", at positions 35 to 154 of the family's 154-position model. The record is from RNAcentral.